GGGGCUGCCCUGGUUUCGACGUGGGUUCGGAAUCGGUGUGGUGCAUGUCGAGCUUGAGUGGCGCUCGUAAAUCUGCAUUCGACAAACUAACUGCAAACGACGAACGUUUCGCACUCGCCGCUUAAACACCGGUGAGCCUUGCAACAGCACGCUGACGGGCUGGGCAAGGGGGCCGCAAGGCCUCCCCGGCUGCAAGGUUAUUCACGUCAGCUGGCCUCCUGCCGGGUACCUUGGCAUGGGGCGAGAUCCAAGGGUGCUGGCCUUCCUUGCAGCGUGCGGCUGCGCGGCUUGGAAGGUGAGAUCCAAAACAGACCGCUAAACAUGUAGAUCUGCCCGAAGAAGGCUUGCGGACGCGGGUUCAAUUCCCGCCAGCUCCACCA
This 380-nucleotide transfer-messenger RNA is filed under the name Burkholderiales. Its description in RNAcentral is "Acidovorax_A citrulli Standard tmRNA". It matches the Rfam family "transfer-messenger RNA". From Rfam's summary of the family: Bacterial tmRNA, also known as 10Sa RNA or SsrA, is named for its dual tRNA and mRNA-like properties. Its role is to liberate the mRNA from a stalled ribosome. The record is from RNAcentral. RNAcentral also lists the same sequence under 1 other name. Lineage: Bacteria; Pseudomonadati; Pseudomonadota; Betaproteobacteria.